GGCGAGCGGCGGACGGGUGAGUAAUGUCUGGGAAACUGCCUGAUGGAGGGGGAUAACUACUGGAAACGGUAGCUAAUACCGCAUAACGUCGCAAGACCAAAGAGGGGGACCUUCGGGCCUCUUGCCAUCAGAUGUGCCCAGAUGGGAUUAGCUAGUAGGUGGGGUAACGGCUCACCUAGGCGACGAUCCCUAGCUGGUCUGAGAGGAUGACCAGCCACACUGGAACUGAGACACGGUCCAGACUCCUACGGGAGGCAGCAGUGGGGAAUAUUGCACAAUGGGCGCAAGCCUGAUGCAGCCAUGCCGCGUGUAUGAAGAAGGCCUUCGGGCUGUAAAGUACUUUCAGCGGGGAGGAAGGUGUUGAGGUUAAUAACCUCAGCAAUUGACGUUACCCGCAGAAGAAGCACCGGCUAACUCCGUGCCAGCAGCCGCGGUAAUACGGAGGGUGCAAGCGUUAAUCGGAAUUACUGGGCGUAAAGCGCACGCAGGCGGUCUGUCAAGUCGGAUGUGAAAUCCCCGGGCUCAACCUGGGAACUGCAUUCGAAACUGGCAGGCUAGAGUCUUGUAGAGGGGGGUAGAAUUCCAGGUGUAGCGGUGAAAUGCGUAGAGAUCUGGAGGAAUACCGGUGGCGAAGGCGGCCCCCUGGACAAAGACUGACGCUCAGGUGCGAAAGCGUGGGGGGCAGACAGGAUUAGAUACCC
Molecule: ribosomal RNA, 701 nt
Filed under: Enterobacter roggenkampii
Lineage: Bacteria; Pseudomonadati; Pseudomonadota; Gammaproteobacteria; Enterobacterales; Enterobacteriaceae
Description: bacterial SSU rRNA
Rfam family: Bacterial small subunit ribosomal RNA
Source: RNAcentral